CUAGCUCUAGAACUAUAGCCCUUGCGCUCCGCCGCAGGGCCAUAGUUCUAGAGCUACGUUUAUUUUAGCUAUUGCGACGACUCCUCCGGCUCCUCAGUGUAUGCUGUUCGGCCCGUCCUUCGAAGUCCUGUACCAAGCUCGUGGCCGAAGAUCGACUCGUGAAGCAAGACCCAAGCUGACGAGCCACUGGCUCAAUUUCAUCCACGCUCACGGUGUAAUAUUCGAUCACGGCUUUGUUCUCUCCGAGCCUGAACCCCCGUGCCCGACCCGCCCCCCAACAGGUACCAUCAAUCCAUAGUCUUGUUCAUCCUUUCGGUGGUUUCAUCAUCAGUAGAGUGUUGUUGUCAUUGUUCUGCCAACAAGAUAUCAAAGAAUUCAGGAUUGUGGCAAGACACAGCAGCCAUGGCCAUAGCAACUGUCCACAUAUGCUGCCACAGGUCUGUAGUGGAAAAUAUGUAGAGCAAGUCUCAGAACACUUGUGAGCAGAUCCUGGUGAGUGGGUAGAAGGAUCAUGACACGCAUGCAGCCUGUACUGAUUGAAAGCUGAGUCACCAUAGAUGGCCUUGAUGAAGCGCUUUAUCCUGUCGACCAGGCAUGUGGAAAUGUCCCAACCAGUGAGUCACCAUAGAAGAUGCAUUUAUUUUGCAUGUUGACAUGGCACAUCGUCCAGUGAAAUCCUGGUUGUGCGUCUCUCCCAAGGUAAACCUGGCCGUUCUCAUGUCCUACGUUUACAAGAAACGCCAGGGAUUUGGGCAUUUUACCUCUUGAGAGGAUUCUCCUAUGUACCAUUCUUUCAAUGUUAGUAAUGUUGUUUAUGUAUGCGCAAAAUACUUGUUCCUGUUCAUUGUUUAACUUGUUGACUAACCAUGUCAUAUGGUCAUCAGAGAGCCAACGAUUACCACAAACCUUUGAAAGUUCUCCUGCUGUCAUGUUGAAGUUCUCGAGAAUAGCAUCGUAUCUCUCUGAGUAUAGCAGCUCCUGGAACUGCUUUAGACUAUCAACUGGAGGAUACUCAAGAACAGUUGGUGGUGGUGAAAUGGUCUUCUGAAACCA
Long non-coding RNA from Priapulus caudatus, 1053 nucleotides. RefSeq lists it as uncharacterized. The transcript is spliced from 4 exons. The record is from RefSeq and is a predicted model, not a curated record. NCBI's taxonomy places the organism in Eukaryota, Metazoa, Priapulida, Priapulimorpha, Priapulimorphida, Priapulidae.